GGAAGUAAAAGUCGUAGCAAGGUCUCCGUAGGUGAACCUGCGGAGGGAUCAUUACAGAGUUCAUGCCCUACCGGGUAGAUCUCCCACCCUAUGUUAUUAUUACUUUGUUGCUUUGGCGGGCCGUUAGGCUCCGGCCCGACUACCGGCCCCGGCUGGUAAGCGCCUGCCAGAGGACCCAAAACCCUGAAUAUUAGUGUCGUCUGAGUACUAUAUAAUAGUUAAAACUUUCAACAACGGAUCUCUUGGUUCUG
This 251-nucleotide unclassified non-coding RNA is filed under the name plant metagenome. RNAcentral's name for it is "partial contains small subunit ribosomal RNA, internal transcribed spacer 1, and 5.8S ribosomal RNA". The stretch from base 1 to 54 matches the Rfam family "Eukaryotic small subunit ribosomal RNA", at positions 1778 to 1831 of the family's 1831-position model. The record is from RNAcentral.